Molecule: non-coding RNA, 90 nt
Filed under: Pelosinus fermentans
Lineage: Bacteria; Bacillati; Bacillota; Negativicutes; Selenomonadales; Sporomusaceae
Also listed under: 1 other name
Description: Glycine sequence
Rfam family: Glycine riboswitch aptamer
About the family: This family represents the bacterial glycine riboswitch.
Source: RNAcentral
AUGAUGGUUGCGGGAGAGAACGCUUAACUAGCGUCACCGAAGGAGCAAAGCUUUGUUCAAACUCUCAGGUAAAAAAACCGUAACUGGACC